This 253-nucleotide ribosomal RNA is filed under the name uncultured bacterium. Its description in RNAcentral is "partial 16S ribosomal RNA". It matches the Rfam family "Bacterial small subunit ribosomal RNA", at positions 524 to 776 of the family's 1533-position model. The record is from RNAcentral.
AACGUAGGAGACGAACGUUAUCCGGAGUUACUGGGCGUAAAGGGCGUGCAGGCGGUCUGAUAAGUUCGGCGUGAAAUAUUCCGGCUUAACCGGGAUAGGUCGUCGGAGACUGUCGGACUAGGGGGUGAUAGAGGCGUGUGGAAUUCCGGGUGUAGUGGUGAAAUGCGUAGAGAUCCGGAGGAACACCAGUGGCGAAGGCGACACGCUGGGUCACACCUGACGCUAAAGCGCGACAGCAUGGGGAGCGAACGGG